GUCACACAAAAUUGCAGAUUUUAUCUAAUAGGGAUGACAAAGACUAUGUCAGAUAAUGGAGUAACUGUUUGAUAAAAAUUAAAACAAAUAAUUUGGCACAAUUAAGCAUAAUGUUUCCAGACGAAGUUAGAAGCUUAAUAUUCGUUUAUUGUGCAAGCUUUUAUUCAUUGGUUUCCGGUUCAGUUCAUAAUGCAACCCACACUAUUCAAUGCCUAAUAGAUAUGCUGAAUCAAUGUCCACCUAAUUCUUCAUGUGAUCAGGGCUCAUGUGUUUGUUUGCGCCAGUUCAAACAAAAUCCUGAAUACAACGAUCAUAAGAAAAACGAAUUUUGCAUUGAAAUAUCCAUAGAACAAUCUUCUAAUGGCAAUAAAUCAUUCACAUACGACAAAGUGUUUAGAGAAGCUCCAUCAGUACAUCAUAUAUUAGGCGGAAUUUUGAUUCCCAUAUGUGCAGUAAUAAUGAUCUUAGCCACUAUAAUUUUGGUUAAUAAAAUGCAGCCGAUGCAGAGGAUUCGCCAAUUACUUUUAUCAAAUCGUCCCAGAAGACCAGCGUACGAAGAUGUUGUAUUAGUAGGCUAUGAACAAUAAUUCCAAAGAUUGAUGGAAACUUGAAUAAGUUUUUUUUAUUGAAAGUGAACGUCAAGCAAGGCUUUAAUCGCCCCUUUAUUCCUACUAAGGCGUAGUUAUCACCAUAUCAUUUAUGUUCAAUCAAUUUUACUAAGUUCUGUAGUCAGAGUCCAUAUCUCAACAGGUAAAAAAUUAGCUCAAUACCGAAUAAUUCGAAAUUUCCGAAGUGUUAUAGUUUUAAAAUUUUCAACCAAUUGGCAAUAAACGACGGCGUGCUUAAGAAAAUAAUUAACUUCGAAAAUUUCGAAUUAUAAAUGUGCUAAUUAGUUGGCCAUUUUCAACCAGCCCGUCAAUUUCCGGCAAGCGCUUCCAAUAAUUUGAUAUUACGUACACGCAAAAUUCAACAUAUUUGUAGUUCUGUGUCAAAAUUUCAGCUCAAUUGAUCAUAACAAAACAUAGUUGCAACAUGCCAAAGUUGGCUGGUUUGUAUGAAAUUCGGCGUAUUGUGCUAAUUUAGAGGCCACCACCAGAUAUAUCUAGGAUAUCUAGAAUUAUAUUUUAUAUAUAUAUAUAUAUACUUAGAUUAUUUUGCCGAGAUUGGCACCACUGAGCAGGCUCGGCAUUUAUUUUUACUGAGAUCUCAGCAAAAUUUAUGUUUGUUAGCCGAGAUCUCGGCAAAAUUCCGGUUUGUUAACUGAAUCUCGGCCAAUUUUUCACUGAGAUGCAGCAAAAUAGAUUUCCGAGCUGCUCGGUGGUGCCCUAAUUUA
Molecule: long non-coding RNA, 1333 nt
Organism: Ochlerotatus camptorhynchus
Lineage: Eukaryota; Metazoa; Arthropoda; Insecta; Diptera; Culicidae
Exons: 3
Source: RefSeq, a predicted model, not a curated record